CCUCUGUGAUGUUCUGCAGCGUGCUGAGGAUGAUGUCUGCUGUCAGGAAGGACUCGGGCAGGGAGAUCCUCCUGCACAGGAGCAAGGCAGGGAAGAGAGGAAAGAAACCAUCAGUAAUCACAAAGGAGAACUGCAUCAUACCAAAUUCACAGCAGUGUAAGUGUGUCUGUGUUGGCUGACCUGUUGGCGCUGUCAUCCAGAGUCCUCUCCAGCCACUGCACUGAGGCAGUCUGCAGAGGGUCGUCCAUCAAUGCUAUCAGAUGUCGGGCCAAGCUACAGCAGCGUUCUGCACGCAUGGGGUUCCUCUUGUAGGGCAUAGCACUGGAACC
Long non-coding RNA from Oreochromis niloticus (Nile tilapia), 329 nucleotides. RefSeq lists it as uncharacterized. Lineage: Eukaryota; Metazoa; Chordata; Actinopteri; Cichliformes; Cichlidae. The record is from RefSeq and is a predicted model, not a curated record. The transcript has 2 exons.